This 425-nucleotide long non-coding RNA is filed under the name Homo sapiens (human). RNAcentral's name for it is "non-protein coding lnc-FAAP100-1:1". The record is from RNAcentral. Lineage: Eukaryota; Metazoa; Chordata; Mammalia; Primates; Hominidae.
GUCUCAGUCGCCGCUGCCAGCUCUCGCACUCUGUUCUUCCGCCGCUCCGCCGUCGCGUUUCUCUGCCGGGUAUUAACGUGUCAGGGCUGAGUGUUCUGGGAUUUCUCUAGAGGCUGGCAAGAACCAGUUGUUUUGUCUUGCGGGUCUGUCAGGGUUGGAAAGUCCAAGCCGUAGGACCCAGUUUCCUUUCUUAGCUGAUGUCUUUGGCCAGAACACCGUGGGCUGUUACUUGCUUUGAGUUGGAAGCGGUUUGCAUUUACGCCUGUAAAUGUAUUCAUUCUUAAUUUAUGUAAGGUUUUUUUUGUACGCAAUUCUCGAUUCUUUGAAGAGAUGACAACAAAUUUUGGUUUUCUACUGUUAUGUGAGAACAUUAGGCCCCAGCAACACGUCAUUGUGUAAGGAAAAAUAAAAGUGCUGCCGUAACC